RNAcentral lists this long non-coding RNA (1510 nucleotides) under Sitophilus oryzae (rice weevil). RNAcentral's name for it is "uncharacterized LOC115881922, transcript variant X4". Lineage: Eukaryota; Metazoa; Arthropoda; Insecta; Coleoptera; Curculionidae. The record is from RNAcentral.
ACGUAUUCAUUCAACUUUUGUCCAACGGAGCAUUGUUGCGAGUUUUCUGCGACCGUUGGAAGUGUUUGUGGAUUUCGGACAACUUUCGAAUAAUUAUUAGUGUUUAUUGCAAAGAAAACUAUUUAAAGUAGUUUUUUAACUAUCUACAAUGGUUCACCAGUGCAUAGUUUGUUAAAGGUGGACUAUUCUAACUCCUGAUUGAUAUUUGGACGCGUUCCUAUAAUUACUGAGCUUAGACAAUGAUCGAUUUCACUCUUGAAUUUGAAAAAUCAAACUAAUGUGUGUCCAAAUUUGUUCUGAUGAUUUUGAUAAGAGCAAUAUUAUGAUCCCGAAUUAACUGAUCGAAGGCAAAUAAGACCAAAUUCUGAGCCUCAAAUAGAUAGUACCAUUUUUGCUGGGGCUUUAUCAUACAGGUUUUCUUCUAGUUUGUACCGCCACCCAAAAAAUGUUUUAGGUAAAUGAACCUCCAGACCAGCUGAGGGACUAGAGAAGGUCCCUACCUAGUCCCGCGAUUGGCAGUUUGGCUGGCCCCUCAAAUUUGAUUUUGCCUAAAAUCAUACAAGAUAAACUAGCCCUUCUCAAGAAGCCCUUCCCUCAAAACAACAGAAACGGCAUUGGAAAAAGAAGUUGGAAUUAACCAGUAUGUGCUCUUUCAUAGUAAGACAAUCCUCAUCUUCUGAUCUCCCAAUAGUUGGAUAUUUAUUAUCUCAAGAAAGUCGUCAAAGUAUCAGAAAAAGAAAGAAGUAUGUUAAUGAGGCAUUAUAAUGAUAUUAUGUAGAAAUUUAAGUCUUUGGAAAUUUGGAAACAAAAUUUGGAAACAAAGAAAAUGAAAAAUACAUACUUUACAAAUAGGUCUUAGAAGAUUGAAAAAUAAAAUAAUAUAUAUGCAUCAGUUAAUUGAUUACUUAAAAGAAAAAUCUUUGAUAAGUGAAUCAACUGAAUUGACGAUUCAGGUUUCCUUAGCUGAACCAGUACAAAGUAUUUUUGAAAGAAUGUUAAAAGGACCUGCCACACAAAAAUCCAAUCUUCUGCUACUAUCCUUUGCUUUAACAUUGUCAUUUUAUUUGCCGAAAACAGAAUUUUAUAAGGGAUACAUAAACUGGCCCAGAGUUUUCUUAGGAGGCCUCUAAAUUCCAUUUAGUUUUCAACAAUAUUGUUGAUAUUUUUAACUCUCAGAAUAGAUUUACAAAAUAUUCAUAUAAAAAAAUUAUCAAAAAUAUAAGAACAACAUACUUUUUAAUAAUUUUGAAAUAAUUAAAUUGUAUAUUAUUGGACUUACUUUAAAAGAAAGGUCAACCAUAGUCACGAAGAAAAACGGGAUUUUUGGGCUUUCUAAUUUGUAUGGAAAGCUUACAACGUCCACGUAUACAAAAAGCAAAAACGGAAGAUAAUAAUAUAUUCAAUCAAUGUAAAAAUGAGAAGAGCAUUGUGGGAUUAAAAAACAUGAUGGUGAUAGAUUGUCUAAAACUAAUAGGAGUACUGGUAUUUCUCAAAACAAAACUGAUGGUUA